This 72-nucleotide transfer RNA is filed under the name Tyrannus tyrannus (eastern kingbird). Its description in RNAcentral is "tRNA-Val". Lineage: Eukaryota; Metazoa; Chordata; Aves; Passeriformes; Tyrannidae. The record is from RNAcentral.
CGAGAUGUAGCUAUGACUAAAGCAUUCAGCUUACACCUGAAAGAUAUCUACUCCACCACUAGAUCAUCUCGA